UACAACGGUUGAACAUGAGUUUAUCAA
This 27-nucleotide small RNA is filed under the name Bombyx mori (domestic silkworm). RNAcentral describes it as "ovarian small RNA-20064". Lineage: Eukaryota; Metazoa; Arthropoda; Insecta; Lepidoptera; Bombycidae. The record is from RNAcentral.